UUCCAAACCACAAUUAAUAUUAAAUGCUUUUAGCACUACAAUCCUGAAAAAUGAAUGCGUUUCAUCACUAAUCGUAUGUAUCCAAAUCCUUCCACCGACCAAAACUCAAUUCAAUUGCCUAGGCUGACGCUCAAAAGUCAAAACUACUAAAAGCCUCCUCUUCCCUUUCCACUGUAUUAUUAGUUUAUUACCUAAAUUAGUGGGGAACAAUGAACAAUUAUGAAUAAUACAAGGUUACCAACAUAAUUUAGAAGAAUUUAACCUACUGUUUGUAAAAGGAAAGAAAGGCCCCUGCAUUAAAUGUUUGGCAAAACUCAAUUAAUUCAUUCCAAAACUAAUGGGAACUUUAAAUACAUACUUUUCUAGAGUUCUAAUAAUCAAUUAUCAUACUAUAAAAUUUACUCCAAAGAAUCAAAAGGCACAAUCAAUAAUUAUGUAAUCUUGAUCUGCCAGAAAGCUAACAGCUUUUGAAUCAACAUACCCCAAGCAGUUUGCAUCACUAAUCCAACUCCAUCUUGAAUAAAAACCCCACAGAGACCAGGAUGAAGAUCAGGAAACCUUUUGACUUUAAAAGCCAAGAAUUUGCAGUGUUAGGACAGCACCUGGGUGGGGAAGGGCCCCUCUUAUCUUAUGUUAAUUCAAAAUUUCAACUGAGCAAGUCCUUUGCCGAACAAACCCCACACUGAACAAACCCCACCAAAAAGCUCAAGUUCAGCCAUGAGUGGACACUUGACUCCACCUUUGAACUCUCGAGCAUCUCUCCGCCUGUACAACACAAGGGCAAAUACAGGGGGAAAAUCAUUAUGCCAUCCUCAAGUGCCAACUACCACUACGUUUAUCGCUAUCACUACGAGUGAUCAACCUAAGUGGCCCAUAUCUCCACAGCUAUAAAAAAAAUCCUUGGUAAAUCUCCGUACCCUACUGAUCAUAUCAAAUCAAGCAUAAUUAUCUAUCAUAAAAUUUUUCUAGAUGAUAUAUAUAACAAUAAAAUGCUUAAAACAGCAAGAUAAUACAAAUUUAAGUUAUAUAAACUAAUAUAGCUUAAACACUACCAUAGAUAUGAAGGUAUUGAAGCAGCAAGAAAAAAAUAUAAAGCAAGCCAAAUUAAAACUCCACUCAGUAGCACAACUGAAGAAAGGAACCUAUUAUGCCUUAAAACUACUUAUUAUGACUAGCAAAAUAGAUACUGCAAACUACAGGGUUUCAAGCAAUCCAACCGGUCCUAAGGUGAUUUAUCAUCCAACUUGAACCUCUCCUAUUGCUGCUCGAGUAAGAAACCAUCACAAUUACAAGAGCAAAGAGAAGGUUAUACGCAGAAGAGUUUGAGAUCAACCCGUAUUCAGUUAAGGUCGGAGGCAAUCCUUUAACAAAAAUCUUCUCGGUCCUGAUAUUUCCACCACCUCCAGAAUUUUUACCCUGAUUAAAAUUACCAAAUCUAGCAGAUGUUUGCUGCUCCUCUCUAGAUAACACCCUCUUUGCCUCAACCUGGGAAAUAGCUAUCUUAUAAUUGGGAACUAUCUUUGCACCAGGCAACGCCAAUAACAAUACAGAUAAAAUACACAAACUCGGAUGAAAUUAAGCGCGCACACACACACAUAUAAGCACAAAAACACCUUAAAUUGUAAAAUUGGCACCAAAAUAAUAUAGCAGACACUAAGGAACUCCAAGUAUCUUCUCAUGCGUAGGCAAAAGACAGUAAGAUAAAACAUAAAAAAUUAACAAUAAAUAGAACAUAAUCAGAGGGGGGGAAGAAAACAUGGAACCAUACAAUCAUCAACCAGUAAAUCAAUAAAAAAUAACAUAUAAACCCCCCAAAAUUUAUUUCCCUCCCUAGAAUUAGUAUUUAAAAGGAAAACCCACUGAGAUAGCAACAACCCUAGACAUGGAUUUGGUAACUAAUUACACCUGAGCAGAGCAUUUGGCUCAAAGAAAUGGAUUUGAAUCAUCCACCAUCUUAUUCCCAAUAUAAAAAACAAGUUUUAACAUAUAUUUGGAGAACCAUAAGUUCAUAACCAAUACCCUUUCCGAAUAUUUGGGAUGCAGAUGAUGGAUAGGGGUAUUCAGAGAAAUAACAAGUCAGAGAAACAUCGAUCUAAAAUGCCAUAUCCACAUAAACAAUUACAAAUCCUAAUCUAAGGCAGUAUUACUGUUUAAUUAGAAUCGAAAAGAAUUACUUGACGCUUUUUAUGGCAAUGAUUCCAUUUUAGUAUAAAAUUUCAGGCACAAAAUCGGUAAAAAUUUUAGGCAUAAAAUUUGGCAUAAAGAAACAAAGAAAAAAAGAGUUUUAUGCCAUACCUUAGCCAAGACCUAGUGAAGAAGAACGAGAUUUGCCUGAGAAAGAGAGAAAGAGAAGAAAUGAAAUAGUAGCCUGAGAAGAGAAGAUAGCAAUGGAGUAGAAGAUGAAGAAUGAAAGAAGGAAAUGAAUGAAGAAGGGAAGAAGAAGACUUUUACCUGGACGAAGGAGGAACCGGAAAAUAUCUUACAGAAAUGAAAUCUGUAAGACAUUUUCCCAAAAAAGUAAAGCAUUUUACCCGUGCCUUAGAAAACAAUUUCCAAAUGGAAAAUGUUUCCAGUCAAACAAACACUGGAAAAGUAGGAAAACAUUUUCAGGAAAAUGUUUUC
This 2622-nucleotide long non-coding RNA is filed under the name Gossypium barbadense (sea-island cotton). RNAcentral's name for it is "long non-coding RNA (GBAR_LNC002704)". Lineage: Eukaryota; Viridiplantae; Streptophyta; Magnoliopsida; Malvales; Malvaceae. The record is from RNAcentral.